This 24-nucleotide non-coding RNA is filed under the name Arabidopsis thaliana (thale cress). Lineage: Eukaryota; Viridiplantae; Streptophyta; Magnoliopsida; Brassicales; Brassicaceae. The record is from RNAcentral.
GAUGCUCUCAAUGGUCUACUUUCA